AUACCCAUGGUGUAGUGGUUAUCACAUCCACUUAACAAGCGGAAGGUCUUAGGUUCGAGACCUGGUGGGUACA
Caerostris darwini is the source of this 73-nucleotide non-coding RNA. NCBI's taxonomy places the organism in Eukaryota, Metazoa, Arthropoda, Arachnida, Araneae, Araneidae. The record is from the annotation of a GenBank genome assembly.